UUCGCCUUUCUGAGACACGGCCCAGACUUCUACGGGAGGCAGCAGUGGGGAAUAUUGCACAAUGGGCGAAAGCCUGAUGCAGCGACGCCGCGUGAGGGAUGACGGCCUUCGGGUUGUAAACCUCUUUCAGUAGGGAAGAAGCGAAAGUGACGGUACCUGCAGAAGAAGCGCCGGCUAACUACGUGCCAGCAGCCGCGGUAAUACGUAGGGCGCAAGCGUUAUCCGGAUUUAUUGGGCGUAAAGAGCUCGUAGGCGGUUUGUCGCGUCUGCCGUGAAAGUCCGAGGCUCAACCUCGGAUCUGCGGUGGGUACGGGCAGACUAGAGUGAUGUAGGGGAGACUGGAAUUCCUGGUGUAGCGGUGAAAUGCGCAGAUAUCAGGAGGAACACCGAUGGCGAAGGCAGGUCUCUGGGCAUCUACUGACGCUGAGGAGCGAAAGCAUGGGGAGCGAACAGGAUUAGAUACCCUGGUAGUCCAUGCCGUAAACGUUGGGCACUAGGUGUGGGGAACAUUCCACGUUUUCCGCGCCGUAGCUAACGCAUUAAGUGCCCCGCCUGGGGAGUACGGCCGCAAGGCUAAAACUCAAAGGAAUUGACGGGGGCCCGCACAAGCGGCGGAGCAUGCGGAUUAAUUCGAUGCAACGCGAAGAACCUUACCAAGGCUUGACAUGUUCCAGACCGCCUCAGAGAUGGGGUUUCCCUUCGGGGCUGGUUCACAGGUGGUGCAUGGUUGUCGUCAGCUCGUGUCGUGAGAUGUUGGGUUAAGUCCCGCAACGAGCGCAACCCUCGUUCCAUGUUGCCAGCACGUAAAGGUGGGGACUCAUGGGAGACUGCCGGGGUCAACUCGGAGGAAGGCGGGGACGACGAAGGGCGAAUU
Molecule: ribosomal RNA, 874 nt
Filed under: uncultured bacterium
Lineage: Bacteria
Description: bacterial SSU rRNA
Rfam family: Bacterial small subunit ribosomal RNA
Source: RNAcentral